RNAcentral lists this ribosomal RNA (457 nucleotides) under uncultured bacterium. RNAcentral's name for it is "bacterial SSU rRNA". It matches the Rfam family "Bacterial small subunit ribosomal RNA", at positions 349 to 793 of the family's 1533-position model. The record is from RNAcentral.
CAGCAGUGGGGGAAUAUUGCACAAUGGGGCGCAAGCCUGAUGCAGCCAUGCCGCGUGUGUGAAGAAGGCCUUCGGGUUGUAAAGCACUUUCAGUCGUGAGGAAGGUAGUGUAGUUAAUAGCUGCAUUAUUUGACGUUAGCGACAGAAGAAGCACCGGCUAACUCCGUGCCAGCAGCCGCGGUAAUACGGAGGGUGCGAGCGUUAAUCGGAAUUACUGGGCGUAAAGCGCAUGCAGGUGGUUUGUUAAGUCAGAUGUGAAAGCCCGGGGCGUCAACCUCGGAAUAGCAUUUGAAACUAGGCAGACUAGAGUACUGUAGAGGGGGGUAGGAAUUUCAGGUGUAGCGGUGAAAUGCGUAGAGAUCUGAAGGAAUACCGGUGGCGAAGGCGGCCCCCUGGACAGAUACUGACACUCAGAUGCGAAAGCGUGGGGAGCAAACAGGAUUAGAUACCCUGGUAG